RNAcentral lists this unclassified non-coding RNA (228 nucleotides) under Hevea brasiliensis (rubber tree). Lineage: Eukaryota; Viridiplantae; Streptophyta; Magnoliopsida; Malpighiales; Euphorbiaceae. The record is from RNAcentral.
CAUGAGCAUUAUUUGCUAAGAACAAUAUGUGAUAACAUCAAGGAUUCUAAAAAAUUAAUUUCUCAAGAACUGGCAUAAUGCAUGGAAAAGGAACACACGUUCUUGCUCAUUAGAAUCCUCAGAAACAAUAAUAGCACCAAUAAGAUGUCUAACCUUCAAGUCAACAUAAGUUCGAUGAUCAGCAUUAUCGAAAGCACGCAUUUUAACAUCACGCCACCUGAUUAUCAG